Long non-coding RNA from Penaeus monodon (black tiger shrimp), 1231 nucleotides. RefSeq lists it as uncharacterized. Lineage: Eukaryota; Metazoa; Arthropoda; Malacostraca; Decapoda; Penaeidae. The transcript has 3 exons. The record is from RefSeq and is a predicted model, not a curated record.
GAGAGAGAGAGUGAAAAUGAGAAUCUGGCUCGGGUCAUAUCGCUGUCGGUAGGUGCUGGCGCUCAGUAUAUCUCGGACUCUCGGCGGGCGAAGGUGUGUCUCCCGCUUUCUCGAACUCCGCCGUUAGGACCUUCACCACCAUCUACCCGCCCCCCCCUCCCCCCGCUCUCCCUACCAUCCGAGGACAGAAAGUGAGAGGCUGAAUGGUUGCUGGUACUCUGUUGAUGGUUGGUGGUGCGUGUGACAACGGUUGGCAGUCCCGCUUCCCCGUUUGCCCGGCACCGCUGGAACCCGAUGCCACCUCCAAGAUGAUGGCACCAUUAAAGGAUCUGUAACAACCAUGCAACUUUUCCUCGCUGCCCUCCUGCCCGGUGAUAAACAGAUGGCGUUCAGUGGUACUGGUUUGUGAUGAGAUGUGAGAGCCUCUUUAAGAAAACUUGUGCGAUGAAAUUUGCGCUAGGAUGGAGGCCUAGUGUGUGUUUUUAUCUUCGUUAUGUGAUGGAGAAUAUAUGUGAUGAUGACAAUAUGUGAUGAAUAUUAAAUGUGAUGAAUACUUUUUGUGAUGAUUCAUGUGAUGACAGCCUGUGAUAUUGUGGCGCGGUGGUGAAAAUAUACGAUAAACAUUAAUGAACAUUUCAGGGUUUAAGUAUACAUUUCUUCGAAGUGCUGCAGUUCAUUCCUCAAGAAUACAAGGCCAUCGUACAGUGCGGAGAGUUGUGGUCUCAGGAAGCAAGCUAUACGGGUGAACUCGAACGAUAGUUUCGUUUGUUAUCAUGUGAUCACACAACCUGUCCUUACUCUAGCAACUCUACAGGGUAUUUAGUGUGUAAGUGUACCUACAAGCCAUCCUAUGUUGCCUCAUAAUAGUCGGUCGGUUAUUAGACACGUAAAAUUAAGCUCAAAAUGAUGAUGAGCAUGCCAGUUACGUCACUCAGCGGGGGAGGGGCUGUCCCGUCCCCUCUGGCCAAUCACGACCUCGCAUCUCCGCCAGCCAAUCACAACCAUCGAUUUGACUUCGCUCCGCAAACCUCCCCGACAACAACUUUCAUAAGAGUGAAGCAAGAACCCGGCUCCCCCGGCAGCAGUGAACCCCCGACGCCUGGCCCGGUGCUCGACGAUUCCGAUCUCCACAACUCGUGCUCGCCUUCCUCACUCCACGGUCAGUACAUCGCAGAACCUAGGGAUAGAGAGGGAAGAGAUGGAAGGGAGGUGGCUUUUUUUUAGGCAAAUA